UACGGAGGGAGCUAGCGUUGUUCGGAAUUACUGGGCAUAAAGCGCACGUAGGCGGCUUUGUAAGUUAGAGGUGAAAGCCCGGGGCUCAACUCCGGAACUGCCUUUAAGACUGCAUCGCUUGAAUCCGGGAGAGGUGAGUGGAAUUCCGAGUGUAGAGGUGAAAUUCGUAGAUAUUCGGAAGAACACCAGUGGCGAAGGCGGCUCACUGGACCGGUAUUGACGCUGAGGUGCGAAAGCGUGGGGAGCAAACAGG
Molecule: ribosomal RNA, 253 nt
Filed under: uncultured bacterium
Lineage: Bacteria
Description: partial 16S ribosomal RNA
Rfam family: Bacterial small subunit ribosomal RNA
Source: RNAcentral